RNAcentral lists this ribosomal RNA (473 nucleotides) under uncultured eukaryote. RNAcentral's name for it is "bacterial SSU rRNA". It matches the Rfam family "Eukaryotic small subunit ribosomal RNA", at positions 727 to 1120 of the family's 1831-position model. The record is from RNAcentral.
CCGCGGGACGGGGCCGCCCCGCGAGGGACGGCGCCGCCCCGGGGCUCGUGAUAUCUCAUCUCGCCGCCCGUCGCGAGGCGGACGGAGGGAUGGAUGAGGUUACCUGGAAAAAAUCGGGGCGAUCUAGGCGGGCGAACCUCGCCAACGAACGAUCGGACAUGGGAUAACGGAAGAGGGCGUCGGCUCGACUUCGUCGGUUCCUCGGGCCGAGGCACGUACGGUGAAUAGGGACGGUCGGGGCCGCCCGUACCGGGUCGUGAGAGGUGAAAUUCUAGGAUCGACCCGAGACGAACCGCCGCGAAAGCAUUCGGCAAGGACGCUUUCAUUAAUCAAGAACGAAAGUCGGGGGAUCGAAGACGAUCAGAUACCGUCGUAGUCCCGACCGUAAACGAUGCCGACCGAGGGCCCGGAGGAGUUACGUACGACCCUCCGGGCCCUCCCGCGAGAAAUCAGGAGUAUUCGGGUUCCGGGGG